Small nucleolar RNA from Pelodiscus sinensis (Chinese soft-shelled turtle), 72 nucleotides. Ensembl annotates it as small nucleolar RNA SNORD5. The record is from Ensembl. Lineage: Eukaryota; Metazoa; Chordata; Testudines; Trionychidae.
GUUCACAUGAUGAAUUUAUCUGUUCAACUGCUGGAUGAUUCACAAAUGAACUAAAUUCUAAUUCUGAAGAGA